CCUACGGGUGACAGCAGUGAGGAAUAUUGGUCAAUGGACGAGAGUCUGAACCAGCCAAGUAGCGUGAAGGAUGACUGCCCUAUGGGUUGUAAACUUCUUUUAUAAAGGAAUAAAACGAGGCACGUGUGCCUUUUUGUAUGUACUUUAUGAAUAAGGAUCGGCUAACUCCGUGCCAGCAGCCGCGGUAAUACGGAGGAUCCGAGCGUUAUCCGGAUUUAUUGGGUUUAAAGGGAGCGUAGAUGGGUUGUUAAGUCAGUUGUGAAAGUUUGCGGCUCAACCGUAAAAUUGCAAUUGAUACUGGCAGUCUUGAGUACAGUUGAGGUAGGCGGAAUUCGUGGUGUAGCGGUGAAAUGCUUAGAUAUCACGAAGAACCCCGAUUGCGAAGGCAGCUUACUAAACUGUGACUGACAUUGAUGCUCGAAAGUGUGGGUAUCAAACAGGAUUAGAUACCCGAGUAGUC
This 460-nucleotide ribosomal RNA is filed under the name uncultured bacterium. RNAcentral's name for it is "partial 16S ribosomal RNA". It matches the Rfam family "Bacterial small subunit ribosomal RNA", at positions 338 to 795 of the family's 1533-position model. The record is from RNAcentral.